Molecule: long non-coding RNA, 3922 nt
Filed under: Citrus maxima (pomelo)
Lineage: Eukaryota; Viridiplantae; Streptophyta; Magnoliopsida; Sapindales; Rutaceae
Description: long non-coding RNA (CMAX_LNC003920)
Source: RNAcentral
UUUGAAGCACAUGAGGUGUCUUGAUUUGUCGAGAAAUUAUAAAAUCAAGAAACUUCCAAAAUCCAUUUGCGAGCUACAGAGUUUACAAACACUGAAUCUUGAAGGAUGUCUGGAGCUAGAAGAGUUGCCUAAAGACAUAAGGUACCUUGUCAGUCUCAGAUUGUUAGGAAUAACCACAAAACAGAAGUCUUUGCAAGAGAGUGGAAUAAGGAGCUUGGGUUCUCUUCGUUGUUUGUAUAUUGCUGAUUGUAGGGAUUUAGAACAUUUGUUCGAGGAGAUAGAUCAAUUAAGUGUCCUUCGAACAUUAUCAAUUGGUGAUUGUCCUCGUCUAAUCUCAUUGCCACCUGCUAUCAAAUAUCUCAGCUCAUUAGACACUCUGAAUUUGUGGAGGUGUGAAAGCCUUGAUCUUAAUCUGAACGUGGAAAUGGAAGGUGAAGGAAGUCAUCAUGAUCGCAAAAACACAAGGCCUCGCCUUCGGAGGGUUUUGCUCAGGGCAAUAACACAGUUAUUAGAACUGCCACAAUGGCUUCUUCAAGGUUCUACUGAUACUUUACUUAGCUUGGUAAUUAGAGAUUGUCCCAACUUCAUGGCACUGCCAGGGUCUCUAAAAGAUCUCAAAGCUCUUGAAGCUCUUGUCAUUGCAAGAUGUCCAAAAUUGUCAUCGUUGCCGGAGGAUAUGCAUCACGUCACAACUCUGAAAUCAUUGACCAUUGCAGGAUGUCCUGCACUGAGUGAACGAUGCAAACCGCCAACAGGUGAAGAUUGGCCCAAGAUUGCACAUAUCCCUGAGAUUUUACUUGAUGGCGAGAUGAUUAAAUCAAGUGAUUAUUAGGUAUGGAUUUUUUUUUCAAUAAGCAUACCACUCUGUUAUAUUUCCUCUUUUCAUGCAGCUUUCUAAUUUUUAAUUUCUCAUACAGCUAUACCGUUUAUAGUUUAAUGUUUUGUUAUGUUUACCAAACGAAAACUUGACUUUGAACGUUAGUUAGUUCAAUCAAAUUUGUACUAAUUUAUUUUCUUCUAAUACAUAACUAGUUUGUCAGUACAAAACACAAAAAUAAUAUUUUGGAAACCGCACUGUUCUGGGGGUCAGAUCUGUUUCUAAAUUCAAACAGUUCAGGAUUUUUCAAAAUGGAACUUAUAAUGAGAUAUUUUUUUUAAUUAUCUAGUUAUCUUCAUAUGGAAUUUCAAUCUUUGUUAAUACUUUAACUUGCGCGGAAACAUCUAACAAUUCUUCCUCUUAUCCUUUUUUUUUUCCCAAAUAUUGCAGCUUUCUUGGGAGAGGUUCAACCAAACUGCAGGGACAGUGAAAAUAUUACUCUUAACGUUGUUCAGAACAGAGGUUCAACGGUUUUAAUGUUGUGUUUUAAAGUUACAAGUAUUAUAUAUUCGUUACGUGUGGUUAUGUAAUUUGCUGAUAAACAAGUACAUUGAGUGAGGUAUAUGUGUGUGCCUGUGUGGUCAUUACUGAAUUUCUCAGUAAUAUAAUUUGCAUUGACUGCAGAUUUGUGAAGAACAUUGAUGUGUUGUGUAAUGGGAACGGUGGUGUCUGUAUUUUGUGCUUUGUGAUUGACGACUUACAUUUGCCCAGGAAGAAAUGAAAACAAAUCGGCUUCUUGAAAUUAACCAUUUAUUCUUUCGAAUGGUAACCUUUUUGUGACAUGAUUCGCAUAUUAAUCAAAAGCAGUUGGCAAACUAAUUAGAUAUUGCAUCGUGAUUCGUGGCCUUGAAGGGAAAUGAGUGAGCAUGUUUGUGGAGGUUUUUGUUUUUUUCCUCCAUAUAAAAUGACUAAUUCGAAAGAAUAUGUAUUUGUAACGACCCGCUCCGACCUCCACAGGGCGAAUCUUACUGAUAGAUUCUUAAAAUAAAAUAAUAAUAAAUAAGAAUAAUAAUAAUCCUUUUACAAUCCAUAAAAAUCAUAUCCUUGAAAAUACAAAGAUAAAAUGCAAACUGCAGCGGAAGAAUUUAAAAUUCAUGCCAAACCAUCUAAUUCCUCCAUUCAAGUCCUUCUCGUUGCUCAUCACGACUCAAUCCUGAUUUACAAAAACUGAAUCACAAUAAACUAUAAUGAAUACGAAACUCAGUAAGUAAAUCAGCUUUGCAUAUACCAAAAUACAUACAUACAUAUAUAUAGUGCACAUGAAUGACGUACCGUGGUAUUCGAAAACAUUGUAAAACAAAUCAUCGAAAUCUCAUUCUGUCUUUCUCAAACUUUCACUUUCUCUUUCAAACCACUUACUUGAGCUACCUUCAUUCGAUUACCGCUUAGUAAGACACUCUCUUAACUUUCAUAACUUUCAUAGUUCUCACCAAUGUGUCCUUCGCCCACUUAUCUCAUAACUAUAUAAACAUCUAGAGUAUCCUCCACUAAGCCAGUAACGAAUUCAAGCAUCCAAGCUAAAACUGUAAAACAAUCUUUCUUUCGUCAAAUUCCACUUGCUAAAAUCAACUUUCUCAUUUUGCAGAAAUCAUAAUGCAUUUUCAUGCUCAUGCCAAUGAAAUAUUCACACAUACGUAUGCCCAUGUCCAUAAAUACACAUAACAACAUAUCAUACCAACACAUCACAUAAACACAUGGGCAAAACAUAUAAAUCAAUAUCCGGACAUAUACAAAAAUAAACUUUUCAAACAUGUCAAACAUAUAUAUUGUUUAUUGUGAUUCGUUUGGAAAUAUAGUUUACUUACCUCAUGGCAUCCUCGAAUAACAAAUGCACAUCGAUAUCAUCGGCCUAUAAAUAAAUAAAAAUACUCUCAUGAGAAUAAAAUUAAACAAUAAUCAUAAACUCCAAUAUUCUUAAAUUCCUCAAUAUAAUCACAUUCCAUACUAACCUCAAAUAAUUUUAAUUUAAAUAAUAAAUCAUCAAAAUACUCACAAUUCUUGAAAUUACGAAAUUACCCUCAAAUAUCAAAAUUACCAAAAUACCCUUGAAUUCAAUAUUACUAAAAUACCCUCAUAUCAAAAUUACCAAAUUAACCUCAAAAUCAUAAAUUACCAACUUUAUCCUCAAUUUCAGCAAUUAUUAAAACACCCACAAAAUCUGAAAUUACAAAAUUGCCCUUGGACUGUGAAAUUACCGAAAUACCCUUGCCGGUGGACGGUCACCGGAAUUCAACCGACGGCGACGGGAUGGCUCCGGAUCGAGCUCCCAAAAUCGUGAAUCCUCCAACGGCCGAUCAACGGCAAAACGACGUCCCCGGCGUCAGUGGUUAGUCGGAAAUGGCAGAGGGAAAGGUAAGAAACAAAACUCAAGUGAUGGCUUCACCGGAAACCGGCGAAAUCACGGCGAAUCGAGCCGGCGAUUCCGCGGUACUUCAAAGCUUCGAUCGGUGGCUUUCCGAUCGAUUUCCGGCGGCAAGGACGGCAUGGAUACGUUGCUCGUCUCUCAAGCUUCAAAUCGGUACCAACCUUGACCGGAACGGUGGCCGGAAAUGGAAUAACCGGCCGGGUCGCGCUCGCGGGUCGGGUUGGAUCCGGUUCUGUUUCUCCUCUCUCUCUCUUCUCUUCUCUCUUUCCUUUCUCUCUUUCUGUCAAUUUAUAUGGGUGGUCAACAGAGUCAAAACCGGGUGUGGGGUAUUACAGUAUUGUAAUAGAACCUAGAACUUCUAUGUAUUUUAGAAUGAAAAUUCUGUACAAUAGAAAAUAUUAAAACGAAAAUUAAAGUUGAUAUGAGAAAAUUAAAGAAGCUUGGAACUGCAAUCUAGCUCGACCUACUAUAUAUAUAUAUAUAUGUUAUUAAUUAAUUGAUCAGGUAAGAUAGAGAGAGACUCUCGGACUCUUUACAAGGAGCAAAAAUGGUAUGAAACUCUGUUUUGAUUAAAAUUCAAUGACUUUCUUCGUAUUAAUUAAUUAUUUUGGUGAAAUUGAUUCACGGUUUCAAAUGAGGACAUGCCGCGGAUGCGUGCGUGCCGUAUGACAUCGAUGAAA